UACAGAGGGGGCAAGCGUUGUUCGGAAUUACUGGGCGUAAAGGGCGCGUAGGCGGCCUGCUAAGUCGAACGUGAAAUCCCCAGGCUUAACCUGGGAACUGCAUCCGAUACUGGUUGGCUUGAAUCCGGGAGAGGGAUGCAGAAUUCCAGGUGUAGCGGUGAAAUGCGUAGAUAUCUGGAGGAAUACCGGUGGCGAAGGCGGCAUCCUGGACCGGCAUUGACGCUGAACAGCGAAAGCUAGGGGAGCAAACGGG
This 253-nucleotide ribosomal RNA is filed under the name uncultured bacterium. RNAcentral describes it as "partial 16S ribosomal RNA". It matches the Rfam family "Bacterial small subunit ribosomal RNA", at positions 524 to 776 of the family's 1533-position model. The record is from RNAcentral.